CGCUGCCGGCCAGGGCCCGCCCUGCCCCAUAGGAAGGGACCCUGGGGGCGGGGCUGCCUCGGCUUCGCCCCCAGGAAACCACGUGGCCUGGGGCGGCCCGACGCCGGCUGCGCUGGAUCCACGCCGAAAGAUGGGCGCCCGAGCCGGGAGGGAAGCCUGGGGAGGACACCUGGGGGGCACGGCCCUGACCACGCUCAGACCCAAGAGGGCGGGGAGGGGCGCAGGGCGCGUGGGGGGCGCGGGCGCACUUACUCGAGCUCCUUGAAGCGCUCGCGGCCCGCCGCCACGUACUUGCCGCCCGCCUGCAGCGCGUCCAGCCCCAGCACCCGGUGCCCACGCGUGGGCGUGAAGAGGCGGCGCACGCCGAACGGGACGUCCACCUGCUCCGUGAGCUGCUCCAGCAGCGCCUCGAAGGUGGCCGCGCGGCGCCGCGACAGCACGAACUUCUUGCCCACGUAGAACGGGUCCCCGUUGCGGUACACCACGAUGGUCUUGGCGGGCGUGGUGUCCACCGGCGCGGAGGGCCCGCGGGUUCCCAUAGCCGCGCCCCGCUCCUCGCUCGCCGGGGCCGAGAGGCUGCGGCAGCGCGGGCAGCGACGCCUGCAGAGCCGCGCCCAGGCCCGGGCACCGCCGACGGGAGGUUGAAUUUGACCGGUUCAGCCCCAGUGUCUUCCAGGACUCCUGGCCCAGAGUGGGGAAUUUGAGCUUUUCCACCAGAGGAGGAGGUGUGCAGAGCCACUGGGAGGCCGUGAGGAACCGCGCUAUAGCCGCUGGUGUGCGGUGUCAGGCGCGUGCCAUUCAGAACGCAUCCUCAUUGGGGAAUGAUUCAAAGGGAGAGGGGGUCUUUGGAAGAAUCGUUCCUACUCUGGGUAAAGAUAGGCCAGUCCCCUUGAGUGAUUCUAGACAGUCAGUAGGCUACAUGUUACGGCUGGAAGUCCACACCGAAGGUACAGAUAUUGAUAUUAUGAGUAUUAAUAUCUUAUAAUGUUCAAAAAAAGUAGUUCCGUAGAGACCACCAGUCACAGCCAUAGCCAGUAUGUAAGCUACUAAAUGCCUCAUAGCAACAUUAAAUACAGAGAUCAAUUUGUGAGACGACCACUUUAUUAAAUCACCAGGUGUUCAAAACAUUUGAAAAGAAGACUAUGACUGGGAAAUUACUGCUGUGUGUCCGACACCGGGG
RNAcentral lists this long non-coding RNA (1180 nucleotides) under Homo sapiens (human). RNAcentral's name for it is "HSALNT0026234". The record is from RNAcentral. Lineage: Eukaryota; Metazoa; Chordata; Mammalia; Primates; Hominidae.